UAGCUCAAUUGGUAAAGAGUCUGCCUGCAAAGCAGGAGACCUAGGUUCGAUUCCUGG
RNAcentral lists this transfer RNA (57 nucleotides) under Bos taurus (domestic cattle). It matches the Rfam family "tRNA", at positions 8 to 63 of the family's 71-position model. From Rfam's summary of the family: Transfer RNA (tRNA) molecules are approximately 80 nucleotides in length. Their secondary structure includes four short double-helical elements and three loops (D, anti-codon, and T loops). RNAcentral also lists the same sequence under 4 other names. The record is from Rfam by way of RNAcentral. Lineage: Eukaryota; Metazoa; Chordata; Mammalia; Artiodactyla; Bovidae.